Long non-coding RNA from Salarias fasciatus (jewelled blenny), 185 nucleotides. RefSeq lists it as uncharacterized. NCBI's taxonomy places the organism in Eukaryota, Metazoa, Chordata, Actinopteri, Blenniiformes, Blenniidae. The transcript is spliced from 3 exons. The record is from RefSeq and is a predicted model, not a curated record.
UUAAUAGAAAACAAAUACAUUUGCUUUCAGGCGAUAUAAUUAUGUGUUCUGUUGAAAGGCAAACACUUAACAUAAUAAUCUCUAAAUCUGUCCCCACUGUCACUGUUCGCUGAUAUAUCUCAUAUAACCCUUUAGCCUUAUCAAUAUUUCCACAGCCAGUUAGUUCUCUCCUCGCCCGCCACUUC